This 460-nucleotide ribosomal RNA is filed under the name uncultured bacterium. RNAcentral's name for it is "partial 16S ribosomal RNA". It matches the Rfam family "Bacterial small subunit ribosomal RNA", at positions 338 to 795 of the family's 1533-position model. The record is from RNAcentral.
CCUACGGGAGGCAGCAGUGAGGAAUAUUGGUCAAUGGACGAGAGUCUGAACCAGCCAAGCCGCGUGAAGGAUGACUGCCCUAUGGGUUGUAAACUUCUUUUAUAUGGGAAUAAAACGUUCCUCGUGAGGGAUUGUGUAUGUACCAUAUGAAUAAGGAUCGGCUAACUCCGUGCCAGCAGCCGCGGUAAUACGGAGGAUCCGAGCGUUAUCCGGAUUUAUUGGGUUUAAAGGGAGCGUAGGGGGAUUGUUAAGUCAGUUGUGAAAGGUUGGGGCUCAACCGUAAAAGUGCAGUUGAAACUGGCAGUCUUGAGUACAGUAGAGGUGGGCGGAAUGCGAGGUGUAGCGGUGAAAUGCGUAGAGAUCACGAAGAACUCCGAUUGCGAAGGCAGCUCACUGGACUGCAACUGACACUGAGGCUCGAAAGUGUGGGUAUCAAACAGGAUUAGAUACCCCAGUAGUC